This is a long non-coding RNA of Cloeon dipterum, 1740 nucleotides long. RefSeq lists it as uncharacterized. The transcript is spliced from 3 exons. Lineage: Eukaryota; Metazoa; Arthropoda; Insecta; Ephemeroptera; Baetidae. The record is from RefSeq and is a predicted model, not a curated record.
GUCUUAUUUGCGUUCAUCUGUGGAUUAAUCUGUGUGCUGUCGUCGUCUCUGGAGAAAACCAGCUUUGAAAAUUGCAAUCGCACGAUUCCAGUGAGAGAGAGAUUUGUCGUUCAGAGGGCUUCUUUGGUGAUUACAGCGUGUUUAUUAACGUUCAUUAUUUAUUCCAUACACCUUUUGUCAAAGAAGUUUGGGUUAUAUGAUACCAACAGCGAAAAGAUGACUGAUCGGAUAUUGUUCUGGAUUUUGUUCGUGCGCUGUAUUAUGGAGGCUAGUGACGUAUUUUACGUGAUUCAUAAAAAGAACACUGCUUCUGAUAUAACACCCAUAGUUCAUGCAUGCUUUAUUAUAGUAGAGAUGAUUGGUAACUCUUUAUUCUGCACAAUCAUAUCGUGCUACAUUCCAUAUGAAAUGUAUGCAGCUUGUUCAACCAGUGCCCAAGAUGACAAUUGCGCAAUUCCGAGUGCGAAUGGAGCAGCAAGUGGUCAAGAGGAAAAUGGCUCAAUCUCCAGUGUAAAUGAAGAUUUUUCAGAAAGUGGUCAAGAGGUAAUUGGCUCAAUCUCCAGUGUAAAUGAAGAUUUUUCAGAAAGUGGUCAAGAGGUAAUUGGCUCAAUCUCCAGUGUAAAUGAAGAUUUUUCAGAUAGUGGUCAAGAGGUAAAUGGCUCAAUCUCCAGUGUAAAUGAAUAUUUUUCAGGAAGUGGACAUGAGCGUUUCGAAAUGAUAGAAAUGAGGCGUGUUCCACCGAGUUUCCGCCAUUUAGCAUACCUUUGACCCCCUGAAAACUCAGAUGCAAUUCCAACUUGUUUCAUUUUGCGAAGCCGUCAUAAACUAAAUGUGAGGAAGCAUGCGCUCCUAAUUAUUCGCAAACUAGAGUCUAAGUGGUUUGGAUCAAGAUUAUAGACAUUUCAGGCAGCCUUAUGUCUGUUUCAACCUAUCAAUACCGAAACUAUUUUGCUCUUUUAGAUUUUAUUGCAAACUAUGAUGACUCUUAACAUAUCUAUGUUAAUUUCAUGCGAUUGAUUAGAUUUAGUUUAUGUAAAAAGUGAUUCAUCUUAAAGACCGUCUUUGUCGAAGUUUCUGAGCACACCAAUCGAUUCUCGGGGGUAGAAUUAUGCAAAGUGGAUAUUUUUCCGACCAAAGAGUCCAGCGCGACGUGCAUAGCACAAGUACAACUUUUCCCGCCAAAACAAUAUGAAUGCGAGAAGUGCGCAUGCGUCAGAGGUGGCUGGAUCUCACAAAGAAGUCAUUCGUACAGGCGGUCUCUCUGCAAGUGCUCAAACCAGCUCUGACGCAUGCGCACUUCUCGCAUUCAUAUUGUUGUGGCGGGAACAAAGUUCUUCGUCGCGCUAAACUCUUUGGUCGGAAAAAAUAUCCACUUUGCAUAAUUUGACCCUCGAGAAUCGAUUGGUGUGCUCAGAAACUGCGUCAAAGACGGUGUUUAAAUAAAACAUAAAUAUAUUAGCAUGACACUUUGCUAUUAUUUCAGAUCCUUUACUUGAGUUUUAAAAAAUAUUUUUUUGCCUUGUACCGAUCGCGAUUGCAGGAGCGCCCUAGUAAAAAAUAUUUUUAAUGCACACACGAUAUUAAAAAAAGAGGAGCAGCAAGCAUUUUCACCAGAAAUUACCUCAAUUCUUCACUCAAGAGGAAUGCAUAUUAAUUAUCAAUUUAUGAAACUGUUCUUAAUGUUGAUUUGUGUGGUUUGGUUUGAGCUCUGGAACACAAAUUUCCAGGUCAAACCAUUUG